Molecule: ribosomal RNA, 210 nt
Filed under: Lacticaseibacillus paracasei
Lineage: Bacteria; Bacillati; Bacillota; Bacilli; Lactobacillales; Lactobacillaceae
Description: Lactobacillus paracasei partial 16S ribosomal RNA
Rfam family: Bacterial small subunit ribosomal RNA
Source: RNAcentral
GGAGAAGAAUGGUCGGCAGAGUAACUGUUGUCGGCGUGACGGUAUCCAACAAGAAAGCCACGGCUAACUACGUGCCAGCAGCCGCGGCAAUACGUAGGUGGCAAGCGUUAUCCGGAUUUAUUGGGCGUAAAGCGAGCGCAGGCGGUUUUUUAAGUCUGAUGUGUAAGCCCUCGGCUUAACCGGGGGAGCGUAUCGGGAACGGGGAAACUU